CAACAGGCUUGAGUCUGUACCUAGCAGCUGCCACUUACCAGCUGUGCAAUCUUGGGCCAUGACCUGACCCCUCCGAAUGCUGUAAAAUGGGGAGAAUGAUGUCUACCUCGCGGGACGGUUACGAUGACAAACUGAGACUCGGUUCAUCUAUUCAUUCAUUCAGCAAAUAUUUAAUAAGCAACUCGGAUGAGCCAGACACUGUCUUCAACGGGGGUGUUUAGCGGGGAUAGAGCGCUAACAGAAACAGGUGAUAUAAUACAUGAAGGUGCUUAGGACGGUGCUAGGGACUUAGAACACACUCUAUGAAAAUUCGUUUCCAAGGAAAAACAACCUGCUUCCCCAGAAAGCACACGCCACCGCCACUGCUGCCACCACCAGGACCACAGGACUCCGUUGAGCUCUGGGGGUGGGCAAUCAGGACACUGGCUCUGAUACCCUGUAACACAAAGCAGCCCCAACCCCUGGUUCAUGGAACCACAGGCCGACAGAGCAGGGGGCACCUGUCGUACUCCCCCCGCCCCCCGACAGGGAAAGGAAGACAGGUACUCCUAGUCACAAGGAGAACACUGACAGUGCCCGCUAGAGAGGAGUCGGGGGAGAAAGGACACAGAAUUCGUGCCCUAAGACGUCCAACCAACUCAAAUGAUCAGUUGCUGUUGAAGGCGCUCCUCCAAUGAGGUCUCCUCUGCUCCCUGAUUUGGCGGUUCUUCUGAGCAAAUAUGACAGCCUUUUCUUCUCCGGGCUCCUUUCCGCUCCUCCACGUCCAUCCCCAGAGCCUGGCUCUCCUUCUGCGGUUCCUACACCAGAACCUUCACAGCCAGCACCACCACCACCACCACCACCACCACCACCACCACCACCACCACCCAGUCCCAUUCCUGCAAGUACAUGAUUGCUGCAAAGGUGACAUGAACACCUUGCGAGGAGCACAAUGUUGCUUCUAGAUUGCCGAAGAUGCUUAAGAUCAGUUUUUCCAGGUGGGAAAAUGUUAGAAUAAAUCCGCUGUGCUCUGUGACCA
RNAcentral lists this long non-coding RNA (1018 nucleotides) under Vulpes vulpes (red fox). Its description in RNAcentral is "lncRNA (ENSVVUG00000006379.1)". The record is from RNAcentral. Lineage: Eukaryota; Metazoa; Chordata; Mammalia; Carnivora; Canidae.